This 1443-nucleotide long non-coding RNA is filed under the name Calidris pugnax (ruff). RNAcentral describes it as "lncRNA (ENSCPUG00000014870.1)". The record is from RNAcentral. Lineage: Eukaryota; Metazoa; Chordata; Aves; Charadriiformes; Scolopacidae.
GCAGCACAAGGCAAAGCAAAGCUAAGCUUUGGUUUGUCUUUUGGACAGGUUGUUUUUAUUCGAGUGAAGGCAGCUCCGAAGUUCAGAGAGAGGAAAAGUGACAGAAAGGUUUCAGAGAUGCUGUCCUGCCAACCACCUGCUUCUCAGACCAACAGUGUGAUCUUCUCUUGGAGUCUGGCACUAGCUCUGCAGCUCUGUAGCUAGACAUCUUCUGGGCAGGAAUCAGCACUUGCCUCAGGAUAUCUGCUCAUGAACAGCUGAUACACAGCAGCAGGUCUGAGAUGAUUGGUGCUGAGAAGGCUGGACGUUGGCAGCAGAAGUACAGUGCUAGUCCCUGGACUCCCUGCUUAACCCCACUGGAGCUCCCCGCUGUUGCGGCUUCCUCUCUGAAGAGCCUUCCAGCAACUGCUCAUUUUGGCAGGAUCUCCUUCCAUCUGCUCCCUUGCCUUGCCUAGGCUCGACCCAGAAAUCCUCUGUGUGUGUGAGCAACCUCUACCAGUUCUCCAGCCCAGGCUCCCUGCCUGGCUGACAUCUCAGAAGCCCUACAUCAGCAGGCAGGAAAGAGUAGAAGGGUAUUAUUUCUCAUACUCAGCUUUUCUUCUCUUUGGCCGGAGUCAUCCAUAAGCCCAAACAGUUGUACAGUUUUCCUCUCUCAGUUUUCCAUCUUUUCUACUCUGAGUAGUCCUCCUGCAGCCUGGUGUGUACAUCCUCUCUCUGCCUGCUCUAACUCCAAGUCUGCCAUAAUCAAACCACUUCUGUCUCGUCUUCCCCUGUGUCAGUGACCCUCUCCUUCAGCUUUGAAUGCAGGAAUGAGAAGCUGCCUGCUAUGUGAACAAAGGCAGUAGGGUAUAGGACCCACAGAGCAAAAACAUGAAGCUCUAACUUCCAUGUGUUCAACUUGGGCUUUAUGGCUACUUAGGGCUCUGACUUGCAUGAGAUUCAGGCACUCAUAGAAAGCCCUGGAAAUCCCGCAGGCCUUAGAAAUUGCCCUUUGCAUGUUUAGCUUGAAAACCAACUCAUGUUCCACUUAUCCAGCCACAAGAGACUUGGGUUGCACGUGAGACAUGCUUAACAGUCUGUACCAGCCCCCAUGUCUUGGCUGUAGUCUGAAAAAACAUGUGGCUGUGGUUUUGGUUGCUUCCAUCUGCUUUAACAAGGGCUGGUAUAAAUAGCUGUCUGGGUCUCUACCUCUUACCUCGCUUUGGUUCAUGCUACUAGACCCAUCUCAUAGUAGACCUCUCUCCAUUGUGUCUCUUUUGGUUAGCUACUAAUGCCUUUCCUACAUUGUAGCUUCUUGGUUUCCCACCACAGUACUGCUGCAUUUUCUUACCAUUUGGCCUGGAAGAUGCAGUAUUGACUCAGAAACUGAAGAGCUUUUAACCUUAUUACCUUGAGUAGUGGCCCACACCAGCAAUAAAAAGGAGAGGGCUGAAGAAAACCUCA